CGCCUGUUUACCAAAAACAUCGCCUCUUGACUAUAAUAAGAGGUCCAGCCUGCCCAGUGAAUUUUAAACGGCCGCGGUAUCCUAACCGCGCGAAGGUAGCAUAAUCACUUGUUCUUUAAAUGGGGACUCGUAUCAACGGCAUCACGAGGGUUUUACUGUCUCCUCUUUUUGAUCAGUGAAAUUGAUCUUCCCGUGAAGAAGCGGGAAUAUUUAUAUAAGACGAGAAGACCCCAUGGAGCUUCAAACCAAAUAACAACUUAACCACUCAACCCAUAAUAAAUUUAAGCCAUGUUAUAAGGUUUUGGGUUGGGGUGACCGCGGAGUAAAGCACAUCCUCCACGACGGAAAGAACACAAUCUUUAUUUAAGAACUACAAUUCUAGAAAUUAGUAUACUAACGUUUACUGACCCGAUAAUCGAUCAACGGACCAAGUUACCCUGGGGAUAACAGCGCAAUCUACUUCAAGAGCUCAUAUCGACAAGUAGGCUUACGACCUCGAUGUUGGAUCAGGGUAUCCCGGUGGUGCAGCCGCUACCGAAGGUUCGUGUCA
RNAcentral lists this ribosomal RNA (550 nucleotides) under Polypedates leucomystax (Java whipping frog). RNAcentral's name for it is "partial 16S ribosomal RNA". It matches the Rfam family "Bacterial large subunit ribosomal RNA", at positions 1797 to 2580 of the family's 2925-position model. Lineage: Eukaryota; Metazoa; Chordata; Amphibia; Anura; Rhacophoridae. The record is from RNAcentral.